GGGGACGUAGCUCAAUUGGGAGAGCGCUAGCUUUGCAAGCUAGAGGUUGCCGGUUCGAUCCCGGUCGUCUCCA
This 73-nucleotide transfer RNA is filed under the name Phycisphaerae bacterium. Its description in RNAcentral is "tRNA-Ala". It matches the Rfam family "tRNA". From Rfam's summary of the family: Transfer RNA (tRNA) molecules are approximately 80 nucleotides in length. Their secondary structure includes four short double-helical elements and three loops (D, anti-codon, and T loops). The record is from RNAcentral. RNAcentral also lists the same sequence under 2 other names. Lineage: Bacteria; Pseudomonadati; Planctomycetota; Phycisphaerae.